RNAcentral lists this ribosomal RNA (253 nucleotides) under uncultured bacterium. Its description in RNAcentral is "partial 16S ribosomal RNA". It matches the Rfam family "Bacterial small subunit ribosomal RNA", at positions 524 to 776 of the family's 1533-position model. The record is from RNAcentral.
UACGUAGGGUGCGAGCGUUAAUCGGAAUUACUGGGCGUAAAGCGUGCGCAGGCGGUUUUGUAAGCCAGAUGUGAAAUCCCCGGGCUUAACCUGGGAAGGGCAUUUGGGACUGCAAGGCUGGAGUUUGGCAGAGGAGACUGGAAUUCCUGGUGUAGCAGUGAAAUGCGUAGAUAUCAGGAGGAAUACCGAUGGCGAAGGCAGGUCUCUGGGCUAUAACUGACGCUGAGGAGCGAAAGCAUGGGGAGCGAACAGG